Molecule: small nuclear RNA, 120 nt
Organism: Lycium barbarum (goji berry)
Lineage: Eukaryota; Viridiplantae; Streptophyta; Magnoliopsida; Solanales; Solanaceae
Source: RefSeq, a predicted model, not a curated record
AUGAUCUCGGACGGAUGGUUGGCAUCUCCCCCCACAGGGACGGGAACAGCCUUCGGGCUUUACCUGUUAUCAAACACAUCUGGUUAAGGCUACCUGCCCCAGAUCUUACCCAAUUUUUUU